RNAcentral lists this transfer RNA (72 nucleotides) under Camelus bactrianus (Bactrian camel). It matches the Rfam family "tRNA". Rfam says of the family: Transfer RNA (tRNA) molecules are approximately 80 nucleotides in length. Their secondary structure includes four short double-helical elements and three loops (D, anti-codon, and T loops). Further hydrogen bonds mediate the characteristic L-shaped molecular structure. tRNAs have two regions of fundamental functional importance: the anti-codon, which is responsible for specific mRNA codon recognition, and the 3' end, to which the tRNAs corresponding amino acid is attached (by aminoacyl-tRNA synthetases). tRNAs cope with the degeneracy of the genetic code in two manners: having more than one tRNA (with a specific anti-codon) for a particular amino acid; and 'wobble' base-pairing, i.e. permitting non-standard base-pairing at the 3rd anti-codon position. The record is from Rfam by way of RNAcentral. RNAcentral also lists the same sequence under 2 other names. Lineage: Eukaryota; Metazoa; Chordata; Mammalia; Artiodactyla; Camelidae.
GAGAGUAUAGCUCAGUGGUAGAGCACAUGCCUGGCAUGUGCAAGAUCCUAGGUUCAAUCCCCAGUACCGCCA